Crotalus tigris (Tiger rattlesnake) is the source of this 888-nucleotide long non-coding RNA. RefSeq lists it as uncharacterized. NCBI's taxonomy places the organism in Eukaryota, Metazoa, Chordata, Lepidosauria, Squamata, Viperidae. The transcript is spliced from 2 exons. The record is from RefSeq and is a predicted model, not a curated record.
AAAAAAAAGCAUUGACUCUAGUAGCUGGGACUGUCAAAAGCAAAUAGCUGUUUUUAUUUCUGAAACGUGUAUGCCACUGAAACAAACUUUCAAUAGCUUAUAAUAAGAUAAAAAUGCAAUUAAACAUCCACAGUAAAAAGUCUUUGUUUUUCUUUGAAGAUGUUUCACUUUUCACUCAAGAAGCUUCUUCAGCUUUGAGUGAGAAGCAAAACGUCUUCAAAGAAAACAAGAAAGUCCACUUGCCUCUUGAAAAAGCAUUUUGGGACAACAGGGACCUGGAUGACUGAGAAUCUCCAUAGUGUAAGUGCAAUAAAAUAUCUGUCAUUAUGGAAAAAAUAUUAUUUCAUAAUUCCAACAGCAUCACAAGCACAAAACAACUCAUAACAAAUCAAAAACAAAGGUCAGAAUUACAGUCUAAAAUAGGAAUGCAGUAGUGGCCAUUUAUAACUCAAAGGCACUCUUUCCAGCAGUUCAGCUGUCACCAGCUUUUGAGUGGCCAUAACUCUAGAUUCCCCAAAGAUGAUUCCAAAAGUAAAAGAGAUCCAAAAGUUACUCUUUCUGAAUUCAUUUCACCUGACUGGAACAAUGCUGGCAGCUGUUCUGCUUCAAGGCUGCAGGAAUACACAUGUAGACAGUACUUGGAAGCUGAAGCAAAUAGCAGACAGCAAUGUAAUUUAAAUCCCUAGCAAAGAGUGAUUCCUGAAAAACUGCAGAUACACUCCAAGAAGCAAUAGCGUAAUCCAAAUACUUUCCCAAAAUCACAGAAAGCCAAAUCAGGUAGUCAGCCGGUCCAAGAAUCACAAACUAUUAUUUUGAACUGUUGUUUCCAACAGAGAUUAAAAGCAACUGUAUGCACUUACUCAGGCAUCAUCCUUUGCUUAGUGAGAA